This 49-nucleotide non-coding RNA is filed under the name Schistosoma mattheei. Lineage: Eukaryota; Metazoa; Platyhelminthes; Trematoda; Strigeidida; Schistosomatidae. The record is from RNAcentral.
AUCCAGCUGACAAGUCCCAAAUAGUACGAAACGUGCGUCUAAACUGCAU